UGGGGAAUCUUAGACAAUGGGGGCAACCCUGAUCUAGCCAUGCCGCGUGAGUGAUGAAGGCCCUAGGGUUGUAAAGCUCUUUCAGCUGGGAAGAUAAUGACGGUACCAGCAGAAGAAGCCCCGGCUAACUCCGUGCCAGCAGCCGCGGUAAUACGGAGGGGGCUAGCGUUGUUCGGAAUUACUGGGCGUAAAGCGCGCGUAGGCGGAUCAGCAAGUUAGGGGUGAAAUCCCGGGGCUCAACCUCGGAACUGCCCUUAAAACUGUUGGUCUUGAGUUCGAGAGAGGUGAGUGGAAUUCCGAGUGUAGAGGUGAAAUUCGUAGAUAUUCGGAGGAACAUCAGUGGCGAAGGCGGCUCACUGGCUCGAUACUGACGCUGAGGUGCGAAAGCGUGGGGAGCAAACAG
RNAcentral lists this ribosomal RNA (403 nucleotides) under uncultured organism. Its description in RNAcentral is "bacterial SSU rRNA". It matches the Rfam family "Bacterial small subunit ribosomal RNA", at positions 355 to 775 of the family's 1533-position model. The record is from RNAcentral.